UGGGGAGUCGUCUAAUGGCAAGACGGCAGAUUCUGGAUCUGCUUAUAAGGGUUCGAUUCCUUUCUCCCCAGCCA
This 74-nucleotide transfer RNA is filed under the name Nitrospiraceae bacterium. RNAcentral describes it as "tRNA-Gln". It matches the Rfam family "tRNA". From Rfam's summary of the family: Transfer RNA (tRNA) molecules are approximately 80 nucleotides in length. Their secondary structure includes four short double-helical elements and three loops (D, anti-codon, and T loops). The record is from RNAcentral. Lineage: Bacteria; Pseudomonadati; Nitrospirota; Nitrospiria; Nitrospirales; Nitrospiraceae. RNAcentral also lists the same sequence under 1 other name.